AUUGAACGCUGGCGGCAGGCCUAACACAUGCAAGUCGAACGGUAACAGGAAACAGCUUGCUGUUUCGCUGACGAGUGGCGGACGGGUGAGUAAUGUCUGGGAAACUGCCUGAUGGAGGGGGAUAACUACUGGAAACGGUAGCUAAUACCGCAUAACGUCGCAAGACCAAAGAGGGGGACCCUCGGGCCUCUUGCCAUCGGAUGUGCCCAGAUGGGAUUCGCUUGUUGGUGGGGUAACGGCUCACCAAGGCGACGAUCCCUAGCUGGUCUGAGGGGAGGCCGAGCCACACAGGAGCUGAGACACGGACCAGACACCGACGGGAGGCAGCAGUGGGGAAUAUUGCACAAUGGGCGCAACCUGAUGCAGCCAUGCCGCGUGUAUGAAGAAGGCCUUCGGGUUGUAAAGUACUUUCAGCGGGGAGGAAGGGAGUAAAGUUAAUACCUUUGCUCAUUGACGUUACCCGCAGAAGAAGCACCGGCUAACUCCGUG
Molecule: ribosomal RNA, 489 nt
Filed under: uncultured bacterium
Lineage: Bacteria
Description: partial 16S ribosomal RNA
Rfam family: Bacterial small subunit ribosomal RNA
Source: RNAcentral